This 253-nucleotide ribosomal RNA is filed under the name uncultured bacterium. Its description in RNAcentral is "partial 16S ribosomal RNA". It matches the Rfam family "Bacterial small subunit ribosomal RNA", at positions 524 to 776 of the family's 1533-position model. The record is from RNAcentral.
UACGAAGGGGGCUAGCGUUGCUCGGAAUGACUGGGCGUAAAGAGCUCGUAGGCGGUUUGUCGCGUCGGCUGUGAAAUCCCGAGGCUCAACCUCGGGCCUGCAGUCGAUACGGGCAAACUAGAGUGUGGUAGGGGAGACUGGAAUUCCUGGUGUAGCGGUGAAAUGCGCAGAUAUCAGGAGGAACACCGGCGGCGAAGGCGGGUCUCUGGGCCAUAACUGACGCUGAGGAGCGAAAGCGUGGGGAGCGAACAGG